UACAAUGGCCGGUACAAAGGGUAGCUAGUUCGCGAGAAGCAGCCAAUCCCAAAAAGCCGGUCUCAGUUCGGAUUGCAGUCUGCAACUCGACUGCAUGAAGUCGGAGUCGCUAGUAAUCGCAGAUCAGCAUUGCUGCGGUGAAUACGUUCCCGGACCUUGUACACACCGCCCGUCACACCACCCGAGU
RNAcentral lists this ribosomal RNA (187 nucleotides) under uncultured bacterium. RNAcentral's name for it is "partial 16S ribosomal RNA". It matches the Rfam family "Bacterial small subunit ribosomal RNA", at positions 1226 to 1411 of the family's 1533-position model. The record is from RNAcentral.